AUGGUAUUUUUGAUACGCUACCUUUUUAAUUUGCAGGUGUCCUUCCAUAGAUUCCCCAAAUUGGAGGAAGUCUACCGGAAGUGGAUAAUUGCUAUCAAGCGUGACGAAGGCACAUCAUUCAAGGUGUCGAAGGCAACCAAAGUGUGCUCGAGGCACUUCGUAGAAAGUGACUUUGUGCGGAAUGUGGCUAACGGGCACAGGCUGCUUUAUGAGCAUGCUGUGCCGUCAUUGUUCAGCUUUAAGAAGCCACAAGUUGUCAGGAAGCCUCCAAAACAGAGAACGUCAACUGUACCACAAGCAAUGCAACCCGAAGCAGACUUGCUACAACCCGAAGCAGACCUGCAACAAUCAGAAGACACCACCACUGCCCCCGAGCUGCCAGAUGAAGAUCCUGGAGCGAGCCCAGUGCCCAUGGAACCGCCAGUCUGCAUGUGCAGUUUGGAGCCCGAGCUCGAAUUAAGGAGGGUAGCAGAGAGGAAGCUGCACAGUGAAAUCGAAUUGCUGCGAAAUGAACUGAAAGAAACCAAGGUCGAAGUGUACCGACUGAAAGCCGAGCUCCAAAGAGCUCUAGCAAACUGCAAGGUGCUAGAGGAGAAAAAUGUGCCUUUCAGCGUUGAAAAAUUCCAAGAGAGCGACGAGGACAUUCAGUUUUACACCGGACUACCCAAUUAUGGUACCUUCAUUGCUUUCCUCGAGCUCAUUGACGCUGGAGAGAAUGGUAAAAAUAUUAUUAUGCGAUCCGGAGUUAGCUUGCAUGCUUCAGAAAAGGCUGGGGGGCCACGUAAGCUAUCGGCAAAGAAUCGGCUGUUUCUUGUUCUGGUUAAGUUGAAAGGUGGCAUGUUCCAUAAACACCUGGGACAUUUGUUCGACAUUUCAGUAAGUACUGUGUCGAAACUGUUCAGCGCGUGGAUGAGCUUUUUGUAUCUCCAUCUCACGAACCUGGCUCUCUGGCUACCACGAGAGACAAUCGACGGCACUAUGCCACCAGCUUUCAGGGAAAAGUAUCCGACAACUCGAGUCAUCUUAGAUGCCACAGAGAUUAGGUGUGAGGUGACAAGCUCGUUUGUGACUUAGUUGGGGACGUACUCGUACUACAAAUCUACGAACACGUUUAAGGGCCUGGUGGGCAUUUCACCCAACGGCCUGGUGACAUUUGUGUCCGAGCUUUUUAUGGGUUCCGUUUCUGACAAAGAGACUGUCAUCCAGAGUGGCCUUCUUGAGAUGCCCUUUGAUAAGGGCGAUUCUGUCAUGGCCGACAAGGGCUUUAAGAUUGCCGACCUCCUCCAAAAACUUGGCGUAGCACUCAACAUUCCUCCAUUUUUGAAUCGAGGCAAGUUCUCCACCGAGGAAGUCGUAGAAACACAGGACAUCGCUGCCCUCCGGAUUUACGUUGAACGCCGAAUCCAGAGAAUUAAGUCCUUCCACAUUUUCGACUGCCCUAUUCCCAUCUCGUUGGCACCCCUUGCCAACCAAAUAUGGACUGUAUGCACAGUCCUCACUAACAUGCAGUCCCCACUCAUCAGAGACAGUGAGUAA
RNAcentral lists this small RNA (1536 nucleotides) under Ixodes scapularis (black-legged tick). Its description in RNAcentral is "uncharacterized LOC115320754". Lineage: Eukaryota; Metazoa; Arthropoda; Arachnida; Ixodida; Ixodidae. The record is from RNAcentral.